CCUACGGGUGGCAGCAGUGGGGAAUAUUGGGCAAUGGGCGAGAGUCUGACCCAGCCAAGCAGCGUGAAGGAUGACUGCUCUCUGGUUUUUAACUUCCUUUUAUAGGGGAGUAACAUGUUACGCUACCUGGGGUUUGUGCCACGGCGAACUACGUGCAAGCACCCGCGGUAAUACGUAGGUGGCAAGCGUUAUCCGGAUUUACUGGGUGUAAAGGGCGAGUAGGUGGGAUUGCAAGUCAGAUGUGAAAGUCAUGGGCUCAACCUAUGGACUGUAGUUGAAACUGGAGGUCUUGAGUACAGGAGAGGCAGACGGAAUUCGUGGUGUAGCGGUGAAAUGCUUAGAUAUCACGAAGAACUCCGAUGGCGAAGGCAGUCCACUGGACUGCAACUGACACUGAGGCGCGAAAGUGUGGGUAGCAAACAGGAUUAGAUACCCUAGUAGUC
RNAcentral lists this ribosomal RNA (443 nucleotides) under uncultured bacterium. Its description in RNAcentral is "partial 16S ribosomal RNA". It matches the Rfam family "Bacterial small subunit ribosomal RNA", at positions 338 to 795 of the family's 1533-position model. The record is from RNAcentral.